Molecule: ribosomal RNA, 496 nt
Filed under: uncultured bacterium
Lineage: Bacteria
Description: partial 16S ribosomal RNA
Rfam family: Bacterial small subunit ribosomal RNA
Source: RNAcentral
AUGCACGCUGGCGGCGUGCCUAAUACCUGCAAGUCGAGCGAACAGACGAGGAGCUUGCUCCUCUGACGUUAGCGGCGGCCGGGUGAGUAACACGUGGAUAACCUACCUAUAAGACUGGGAUAACUUCGGGAAACCGGAGCUAAUACCGGAUAAUAUAUUGAACCGCAUGGUUCAAUAGUGAAAGACGGUUUUGCUGUCACUUAUAGAUGGAUCCGCGCCGCAUUAGCUAGUUGGUAAGGUAACGGCUUACCAAGGCAACGAUGCGUAGCCGACCUGAGAGGUUGAUCGGCCACACUGGAACUGAGACACGGUCCAGACUCCUACGGGAGGCAGCAGUAGGGAAUCUUCCGCAAUGGGCGAAAGCCUGACGGAGCAACGCCGCGUGAGUGAUGAAGGUCUUCGGAUCGUAAAACUCUGUUAUUAGGGAAGAACAAAUGUGUAAGUAACUAUGCACGUCUUGACGGUACCUAAUCAGAAAGCCACGGCUAACUACGUG